UCAAUAAGCGGAGGAAAAGAAACCAACAGGGAUUGCUCUAGUAACGGCGAGUGAAGCAGCAAUAGCUCAAAUUUGAAAUCUGGCGUCUUCGACGUCCGAGUUGUAAUUUGUAGAGGAUGCUUCUGAGUGGCCACCGACCUAAGUUCCUUGGAACAGGACGUCAUAGAGGGUGAGAAUCCCGUAUGCGGUCGGAAAGGCGCUCUAUACGUAGCUCCUUCGACGAGUCGAGUUGUUUGGGAAUGCAGCUCUAAAUGGGAGGUAAAUUUCUUCUAAAGCUAAAUAUUGGCCAGAGACCGAUAGCGCACAAGUAGAGUGAUCGAAAGAUGAAAAGCACUUUGGAAAGAGAGUUAAAAAGCACGUGAAAUUGUUAAAAGGGAAGGGAUUGCAACCAGACUUGCUCGCGGUGUUCCGCCGGUCUUCUGACCGGUCUACUCGCCGCGUUGCAGGCCAGCAUCGUCUGGUGCCGCUGGAUAAGACUUGAGGAAUGUAGCUCCCUCGGGAGUGUUAUAGCCUCUUGUGAUGCAGCGAGCGCCGGGCGAGGUCCGCGCUUCGGCUAGGAUGCUGGCGUAAUGGUCGUAAUCCGCCCGUCUUGAAACACGGACCAAGGAGUCUAACAUCUAUGCGAGUGUUCGGGUGUCAAACCCCUACGCGUAAUGAAAGUGAACGGAGGUGAGAACCGCAAGGUGCAUCAUCGACCGAUCCUGAUGUCUUCGGAUGGAUUUGAGUAAGAGCAUAGCUGUUGGGACCCGAAAGAUGGUGAACUAUGCCUGAAUAGGGUGAAGCCAGAGGAAACUCUGGUGGAGGCUCGCAGCGGUUCUGACGUGCAAAUCGAUCGUCAAAUUUGGGUAUAGGGGCGAAAGACUAAUCGAACCAUCUAGUAGCUGGUUCCUG
Molecule: ribosomal RNA, 891 nt
Filed under: Cladosporium ramotenellum
Lineage: Eukaryota; Fungi; Ascomycota; Dothideomycetes; Cladosporiales; Cladosporiaceae
Description: eukaryotic LSU rRNA
Rfam family: Eukaryotic large subunit ribosomal RNA
Source: RNAcentral